AGUGAACGCUGGCGGUAGGCCUAACACAUGCAAGUCGAACGGCAGCACAGGAGAGCUUGCUCUCUGGGUGGCGAGUGGCGGACGGGUGAGGAAUACAUCGGAAUCUACUCUGUCGUGGGGGAUAACGUAGGGAAACUUACGCUAAUACCGCAUACGACCUACGGGUGAAAGCAGGGGACCUUCGGGCCUUGCGCGAUUGAAUGAGCCGAUGUCGGAUUAGCUAGUUGGCGGGGUAAAGGCCCACCAAGGCGACGAUCCGUAGCUGGUCUGAGAGGAGGAGCAGCCAAACUGGAACUGAAACACGGGCCAGACUCCUACGGGCGGCAGCAGUGGGGAAUAUUGGACAAUGGGCGCAAGCCUGUUCCAGCCAUACCGCGUGGGUGAAGAAGGCCUUCGGGUUGUAAAGCCCUUUUGUUGGGAAAGAAAUCCAGCUGGCUAAUACCCGGUUGGGGUGACGGUACCCAAAGAAUAAGCACCGGCUAACUUCGUGCCAGCCGCCGCGGUAA
Molecule: ribosomal RNA, 506 nt
Filed under: uncultured bacterium
Lineage: Bacteria
Description: partial 16S ribosomal RNA
Rfam family: Bacterial small subunit ribosomal RNA
Source: RNAcentral